UAAACAACCUGCCUUCAGGAUGGUGACAACAGACGGAAACGACUGCUAAUACCGAAUACGUUCCACGGGCCGCAUGACCUGUGGAAGAAAGGGUAGCCUCUACCUGUAAGCUAUCGCCUGAAGAGGUGUUUGCGUCUGAUUAGGCAGUUGGUGGGGUAACGGCCCACCAAACCAACGAUCAGUAGCCGGUCUGAGAGGAUGAACGGCCACACUGGAACUGAGACACGGUCCAG
RNAcentral lists this ribosomal RNA (233 nucleotides) under uncultured Veillonellaceae bacterium. RNAcentral's name for it is "partial 16S ribosomal RNA". It matches the Rfam family "Bacterial small subunit ribosomal RNA", at positions 118 to 334 of the family's 1533-position model. The record is from RNAcentral. Lineage: Bacteria; Bacillati; Bacillota; Negativicutes; Veillonellales; Veillonellaceae.